RNAcentral lists this ribosomal RNA (253 nucleotides) under Pseudomonadota bacterium. RNAcentral describes it as "partial 16S ribosomal RNA". It matches the Rfam family "Bacterial small subunit ribosomal RNA", at positions 524 to 776 of the family's 1533-position model. Lineage: Bacteria; Pseudomonadati; Pseudomonadota. RNAcentral also lists the same sequence under 1 other name. The record is from RNAcentral.
UACAGGGGGCGCGAGCGUUGCUCGGAAUCACUGGGCGUAAAGCGUACGCAGGCGGGCCGUUAAGUCGGAUGUGAAAUCCCAGGGCUCAACCCUGGAAGUGCAUUCGAUACUGGCGGUCUCGAGUACGGGAGAGGAGAGCGGAAUUCCUGGUGUAGAGGUGAAAUUCGUAGAUAUCAGGAGGAACACCGGUGGCGAAAGCGGCUCUCUGGCCCGAUACUGACGCUCAUGUACGAAAGCGUGGGGAGCAAACAGG